RNAcentral lists this long non-coding RNA (439 nucleotides) under Daphnia pulex (common water flea). RNAcentral's name for it is "uncharacterized LOC124195615, transcript variant X2". Lineage: Eukaryota; Metazoa; Arthropoda; Branchiopoda; Diplostraca; Daphniidae. The record is from RNAcentral.
UAUCCAGUGUAAUAGUCGGGGCUUCCAAUAACGAGUGUACCGUAUCGAUUUCUCGCCAUCGGGAGACUGGGUGGUCGUCCGAAGCUCUCAUCCGUGCAUAUCCCUAAUGAACAAAUGAGAGAUAACUGCUGGCGAGGAAAGAGGGGGGAAAAAAACGUAAUAGCCAUGGCGAUAUUCUCUUAUUAUACAAUCUCGGCUUCUCCUAGAGGCUACAGCGUCGAUUCCGCGGUUGGUCAGAGCGUCAUUGCCCGCCUCUCAAACGACCUAUUCUUUCCCGUUUUUUGUUUGUUCACGACAAGAGUAUAAUACCCGUCCAAUUGAUUUUCCUUUUUCUCAAAAUUGUAAUCUGGUAUACUUUCAUAACCCGGCACUUUGGAAGAAAAAAACGAAAACUGUACCUUGGCAUUUACGUAUUCAAAAUAAAACGUCUUCUCCCAAG